AAGUGGUAGGAGAGCGUUCUAUUUGCGUCGAAGGUAUACCGGUAAGGAGUGCUGGAGCGAAUAGAAGUGAGCAUGCAGGCAUGAGUAGCGAUAAUUAAUGUGAGAAUCAUUAACGCCGUAAACCCAAGGUUUCCUACGCGAUGCUCGUCAUCGUAGGGUUAGUCGGGUCCUAAGUCGAGUCCGAAAGGGGUAGACGAUGGCAAAUUGGUUAAUAUUCCAAUACCAACAUUAGUGUGCGAUGGAAGGACGCUUAGGGCUAAGGGGGCUAGCGGAUGGAAGUGCUAGUCUAAGGUCGUAGGAGGUUAUACAGGCAAAUCCGUAUAACAAUACUCCGAGAACUGAAAGGCUUUUUGAAGUCUUCGGAUGGAUAGAAGAACCCCUGAUGCCGUCGAGCCAAGAAAAGUUUCUAAGUUUAGCUAAUGUUGCCCGUACCGUAAACCGACACAGGUGGGUGGGAUGAGUAUUCUAAGGCGCGUGGAAGAACUCUCUUUAAGGAACUCUGCAAAAUAGCACCGUAUCUUCGGUAUAAGGUGUGGUUCGCUUCGUAUUAGGAUUUACUCCGAAAGCGAAGAAACUUACAACAAAGAGUCCCUCCCGACUGUUUACCAAAAACACAGCACUCUGCUAACUCGUAAGAGGAUGUAUAGGGUGUGACGCCUGCCCGGUGCUCGAAGGUUAAUUGAUGGGGUUAGCAUUAGCGAAGCUCUUGAUCGAAGCCCGAGUAAACGGCGGCCGUAACUAUAACGGUCCUAAGGUAGCGAAAUUCCUUGUCGGUUAAAUACCGACCUGCAUGAAUGGCGUAACGAGAUGGGAGCUGUCUCAAAGAGGGAUCCAGUGAAAUUGUAGUGGAGGUGAAAAUUCCUCCUACCCGCGGCAAGACGGAGAGACCCCGUGGACCUUUACUACAGCUUGACACUGCUAUUUGGAUAAGAAUGUGCAGGAUAGGUGGGAGGCUUUGAGUAUAUGACGCCAGUUGUAUAUGAGCCAUUGUUGAGAUACCACUCUUUCUUAUUUGGGUAGCUAACCAGCUUGAGUUAUCCUCAAGUGGGACAAUGUCUGGUGGGUAGUUUGACUGGGGCGGUCGCCUCCCAAAUAAUAACGGAGGCUUACAAAGGUUGGCUCAGAACGGUUGGAAAUCGUUCGUAGAGUAUAAAGGUAUAAGCCAGCUUAACUGCAAGACAUACAAGUCAAGCAGAGACGAAAGUCGGUCUUAGUGAUCCGGUGGUUCUGUGUGGAAGGGCCAUCGCUCAAAGGAUAAAAGGUACCCCGGGGAUAACAGGCUGAUCUCCCCCAAGAGCUCACAUCGACGGGGAGGUUUGGCACCUCGAUGUCGGCUCAUCGCAUCCUGGGGCUGGAGCAGGUCCCAAGGGUAUGGCUGUUCGCCAUUUAAAGCGGUACGCGAGCUGGGUUCAGAACGUCGUGAGACAGUUCGGUCCCUAUCUGCCGUGGGCGUAAGAAGAUUGAAGAGAUUUGACCCUAGUACGAGAGGACCGGGUUGAACAAACCACUGGUGUAGCUGUUGUUCUGCCAAGAGCAUCGCAGCGUAGCUAAGUUUGGAAAGGAUAAACGCUGAAAGCAUCUAAGCGUGAAGCCAACUCUAAGAUGAAUCUUCUCUAAGCUCUCUAGAAGACUACUAGUUUGAUAGGCUGGGUGUGUAAUGGAUGAAAGUCCUUUAGCUGACCAGUACUAAUAGAGCGUUUGGCUUAUCUUUAAUAAAGCAU
This 1721-nucleotide ribosomal RNA is filed under the name Campylobacter coli. Its description in RNAcentral is "partial 23S ribosomal RNA". It matches the Rfam family "Bacterial large subunit ribosomal RNA", at positions 1223 to 2925 of the family's 2925-position model. The record is from RNAcentral. Lineage: Bacteria; Pseudomonadati; Campylobacterota; Epsilonproteobacteria; Campylobacterales; Campylobacteraceae.